Molecule: unclassified non-coding RNA, 354 nt
Filed under: soil metagenome
Description: partial contains 5.8S ribosomal RNA, internal transcribed spacer 2, and large subunit ribosomal RNA
Rfam family: 5.8S ribosomal RNA (bases 1-120)
Source: RNAcentral
GAUGAAGAACGUAGCGAAAUGCGAUAAGUAGUGUGAAUUGCAGAAUUCAGUGAAUCAUCGAAUCUUUGAACGCACAUUGCGCCUCCUGGUAUUCCGGGAGGCAUGCCUGUUCGAGCGUCAUUAAAAUCACUCAAGCUUAGGUUUACCUAUUGCUUGGUCUUGGAGAUGGAAGCCAAUUUAUUAGAAUCCUCUUCGAAAUUCAAUGGCGAAGACCCUUGCUCUCCCAAGUGUAGUAAUAACUUAUGUCACUGAAGGAAGCGAGAAAUCUUCUGCCGUAACCCACAUAUUUUCUAUGAUUGACCUCGGAUCAGGUAGGGAUACCCGCUGAACUUAAGCAUAUCAAUAAGCGGAGGA